Molecule: small nucleolar RNA, 107 nt
Organism: Gossypium raimondii (Peruvian cotton)
Lineage: Eukaryota; Viridiplantae; Streptophyta; Magnoliopsida; Malvales; Malvaceae
Rfam family: Plant small nucleolar RNA R71
About the family: R71 is a member of the C/D box family of snoRNAs containing the C (UGAUGA) and D (CUGA) box motifs.
Source: Rfam
AUCCCAUGAUGAGGACAUUUACGAAGUAACUUCUUAAAUAGCUCCCAAGUCUCACACAAAGACUCGUCAUCCAAUUGUUAGAAAAUUGUGAUCUCAUUCCUUUACUU